AGCAUUUGCGUGAUCAGCGUGAGAACGAAGCUGAGAAGCAUUUGAGCAUAUUGAAAAAUCGGGAGAAUAGAAAAUGGCAUGGAGAGGGCAACUUUCUCGGAAUCUUAAGGAGUUUCGUAUUCUGCUGUGCCAAUCUUCACCUUCAAGAUCAUCGACUAGAGCAUUCGUGAAGAAAAAUUACAAGGAUCUCAAGACUCUGAGCGCUAAGCUUCCGAUCCUGAUCCGUGAGUCUAGUGGAAUCGAGCCUCAAUUAUGGGCUAGAUAUGAUAUGGGCGUUGAGAUGUGCAUUUGAUUGGAAGGUUAAACUGAGGCACAGAUCUUUAAGGCCCUUGAAGACCUUGCAAAAGUUGGGGCCAUCGCUUAAAGCUUGAUGCCAAUGUUGUUUAACUGUAUAGAAUGAAAUAAAUUGAUACUUUGGGAGGAUCUUCAUAUUAAAGUUUGUCCUGUUUUUUGCUAUGUAUUCUUUGAGAGUUGGAUAUUCACUAUUAUCAUUAGAGCUGUGCAUGGUUCUUAGGGAAUCAAAUUGAACCAAAGAACCAUACCGAACCGACAGAAACCGUACCAAACGGAAAUUUUUUUUUUUAUACUUUGGUUCGGUUCUGGUUCUUCACCAAUAAUUAAACUGAAUUAAUAUUGAAAUCAAAUUGGAAUCAUAUCAAAUCGAAACUGAAUUAAGAACCAA
RNAcentral lists this unclassified non-coding RNA (682 nucleotides) under Hevea brasiliensis (rubber tree). Lineage: Eukaryota; Viridiplantae; Streptophyta; Magnoliopsida; Malpighiales; Euphorbiaceae. The record is from RNAcentral.